GAAGGUAUAAUUCAGUGGUAGAGCAUAUGCUUAGCAUGCACGAGGUCCUGGGUUCAAUCCCUAGUAUCUCCA
RNAcentral lists this transfer RNA (72 nucleotides) under Camelus bactrianus (Bactrian camel). It matches the Rfam family "tRNA". Rfam says of the family: Transfer RNA (tRNA) molecules are approximately 80 nucleotides in length. Their secondary structure includes four short double-helical elements and three loops (D, anti-codon, and T loops). Further hydrogen bonds mediate the characteristic L-shaped molecular structure. tRNAs have two regions of fundamental functional importance: the anti-codon, which is responsible for specific mRNA codon recognition, and the 3' end, to which the tRNAs corresponding amino acid is attached (by aminoacyl-tRNA synthetases). tRNAs cope with the degeneracy of the genetic code in two manners: having more than one tRNA (with a specific anti-codon) for a particular amino acid; and 'wobble' base-pairing, i.e. permitting non-standard base-pairing at the 3rd anti-codon position. The record is from Rfam by way of RNAcentral. Lineage: Eukaryota; Metazoa; Chordata; Mammalia; Artiodactyla; Camelidae. RNAcentral also lists the same sequence under 2 other names.